GACGAACGCUGGCGGCGUGCUUAACACAUGCAAGUCGAACGGUAAGGCCCUUCGGGGUACACGAGUGGCGAACGGGUGAGUAGCACGUGGGUGAUCUGCCCUGCACUUCGGGAUAAGCCUGGGAAACUGGGUCUAAUACCGGAUAGGACUCCGGACUGCAUGGUCUGGGGUGGAAAGCUUUUGCGGUGUGGGAUGGGCCCGCGGCCUAUCAGCUUGUUGGUGGGGUGAUGGCCUACCAAGGCGACGACGGGUAGCCGGCCUGAGAGGGUGACCGGCCACACUGGGACUGAGAUACGGCCCAGACUCCUACGGGAGGCGGCAGUGGGGAAUAUUGCACAAUGGGCGCAAGCCUGAUGCAGCGACGCCGCGUGAGGGAUGACGGCCUUCGGGUUGUAAACCUCUUUCAGCAUCGACGAAGCGAAAGUGACGGUAGGUGCAGAAGAAGGACCGGCCAACUACGUGCCAGCAGCCGCCGUAA
RNAcentral lists this ribosomal RNA (478 nucleotides) under uncultured bacterium. RNAcentral's name for it is "partial 16S ribosomal RNA". It matches the Rfam family "Bacterial small subunit ribosomal RNA", at positions 28 to 523 of the family's 1533-position model. The record is from RNAcentral.